ACAGGCAGCAGAGUCUAACAUGGGAGAUGAGGCUUGCAUGAAUGACCAAAGCUGCUUUAUGUGCUGGGAAAGUUGCUCUAUGCUUUACCUGGAUUAUCAAGUGUGGGGAAUGAUGUGCGACGUUCCAGAUCUCUGUUACGAGGUUGCCAGUGGUCUGCGCUUGUCACGAAGAG
Long non-coding RNA from Priapulus caudatus, 173 nucleotides. RefSeq lists it as uncharacterized. The record is from RefSeq and is a predicted model, not a curated record. NCBI's taxonomy places the organism in Eukaryota, Metazoa, Priapulida, Priapulimorpha, Priapulimorphida, Priapulidae. The transcript is spliced from 3 exons.